This 293-nucleotide small nuclear RNA is filed under the name Chinchilla lanigera (long-tailed chinchilla). RNAcentral's name for it is "7SK RNA (ENSCLAG00000022177.1)". It matches the Rfam family "7SK RNA". Rfam says of the family: 7SK was discovered as an abundant small nuclear RNA in the mid-70s but a possible function has only recently been suggested. Two independent studies have found that 7SK RNA binds the CDK9/cyclin T complex (known as elongation factor P-TEFb). Lineage: Eukaryota; Metazoa; Chordata; Mammalia; Rodentia; Chinchillidae. The record is from Rfam by way of RNAcentral.
GGGUAUGAGGGUAAUCUGUGACCCCAUUGAGAGCCACAGUUGAUUUGGCUGAUCUGGCUGGCUAGACAGAGAUUCCCUUCCUCCCUCAAUGCUCCAUGUGUGUCCCUCCUGAAUCUGCAUGUGUGGUCAAAGAGGACAAACAACUCUGAUAGAGGAAGACCAUUUCUCAGUCAAGCAUACACAGGUAGCUGUGCUCCCCUGCUAGAACCUCCAAACAAGCUCUCAAAAAAUAAGUUACGUUGUAUGGACAUGACUUUGUCAGAUGCUGAGUUUUUUGUGGAGAUCCAUUUCCU